AGAAACAACCUCUGAUAUGACCGUCCUCUGAGGAGGAGGAGGAGUUGCAGGAGUUGGAGAAGAUUGACUCCAUCAUGGCAGUCAGGCGCAAUCUCGUCCUUCAAAUCUCUGUUCUCUUGCUCUAGAUGUUCCAUAAUCCUUAGAUGAUUGGUGCAGGUAUUAUAUCGAUCAGUCAGCUUGGCUGAAACGUAGAAGAAGAACCAAUAAGACAUCUGGCGAAAGAGAAACAUGCUUAUGCAAAUGAUGCAUGAAAUGCAAUGCUUGAUUUUUUUUAAAACUAUUUUAUUUGAAAAUAUAUAAUAAUAACAACUGCACAAUUUUAUUGACCAUAAAACCUCUUUUAUUUAUAUAAUUGGAAGGAUUACACUGAGUACAAAUUCAUAAACCAAAAUGAAAAAUACAAGAGAAAAGGAGACUAAUCAUCCUAAGGAUCCCUAACAACAAUAUCAGAAGAUCGGGCCGCAGGCGCGUACUUCCUUCGGAUGAGUCGGAUCUCGGACUCGAAAGAUGUCUUCAUCUUAGUCUUCUCAAGGAUAAGCUGGUCAACAAUAUUCUUCUAAGCAACGGAAGGCUGAGGUAUAUUAGAGGAAGAUGAAAUCUCUGGCUCUCUUUGCCUCUUCAUUAAUCGGUCUUCAAGAAGCUCAAUAAGUGCAUAUUUGUUCUUAGACUCAAGCUACAACUCCUCAUGCUUUCUGCUUAAAGCAUGGAAACUCUCUUCCCAUGUAUCCUUCUCUUGCUUCAUCUUGGCGAAUGCGUCUUCCAACUCCUCUACAUAUUGGUUAGGGAGAUUCAAUGGCUCAGCCACAACCAUAGACAUAGGUCUUUCACAAGCAUACGCCAUCUUCAAUUUCAAAGCUAUCUUCUUCACCCAAAGAGUGUAAGCUUCUAAAGCUACACAAUUGCGCGGACCAAGCUCGGAUCUUCCCUUUCUAUGCAUAUUAUGCCAAGCAUGUACAAUCUUCUGCUUCAAAUGUUGGGGAUCUUUACCCUCUUGAUAGAAAAGGCCUUCUAACAAAGUGUUAUUAGGUUUAUCUCUCAAUGGGGAACCUAAGUUGACGAUGAGCCAAAGCAGGGUUGUAGUUGAUUCCUCCUUGUGUACCAAUGAUGGGCACAUUAGAGAAUUAACCACAAUAAUCAAUAAUCUCCACACUACCCAAUGCAGAAUCAUACCAAACUAUAUCAUUAUUAGUGAGAGACAUAAGUCUCUGAGACCACCAUAAACAUUGUUUGUUUUCCAUAAAAGUAGGUGUCUGAGGCGAGUGCUAAAUAAACCACUUGUGCAUAAGAGGAAUGCAACAGACGAUAGUUCCACCACCCUUAGAAUUCCUUAGAUGCAAAGAGAAAUACAUUUCUCCUAACAGAGUAGGCACGAGAUUCCCAAUCAAGAAAAUUCUAAUGGCGUUAACAUCAACAAAACCGUCAAUGUUAAGGAAUAAGGCUAAGACAUAGAUGAGCAAUAUAAAGAUAACUUCAAAAGCAUCCACACUACCAGCUUGAGCCAAGGCAGUAGCUUCCUUGAUGAGGAACUCAAAAGUCAAUCCAAACAAUCCUCCUUUCUUCACCCAAUGAGUCUCUAUCUCAGACUUCUUCAAGUGAAGGGCUUCAGCUAUAAGAUGAGAUAUGGGAAUCUCUUCCAAUCCACUAAAAGGCACUUUGCUAGAAACAGGUAUUCCCAAGAGACGGGCAUACUCCUCCAACAUAGGCACUGGCUGCUAUCAAGAAAAGUGAAGCAAUGAUAGAAAGGGUCAUAGAACUGAACCAACACACUUAAGAGUCCUUCAACCACAUCAGCAGACGUAAUAGACAGAAGCUUCCUAUGACGUUGCUUGAAGUCCAAGGGAUCUAAUACAAAAGAUGACAGCUUCCUUAACUCUUUCAAGUCUGGACAUCUAAAACUGUACUUUUUAGUGUUCUUUCGUCCACAAUCCAUGGUCUAAAAAUAUUUGCAAAUAAGACCUCAGUUCCUUGAAAUUUUUGGUGUGAUGAAUGUUAUGAUGCACAUGAAUGCAUGAAUACAACAAUCAUAAAUAAGGGAUCACACACAAGGAAAACAAACAAAGGUCAAGGGAUGAAUCAAGUCAUUGUCAAGAUCAAUCAUCCAUUUUGGUGGAUUAUGGCUUUCACCUUAUCAACACCCAAGUUCCAUUGAUAUAAAAUAAGGGAUCACACACAAGGAAAACAAACAAAGGUCAAGGGAUGAAUCAAGUCAUUGUCAAGAUCAAUCAUCCAUUUUGGUGGAUUAUGGCUUUCACCUUAUCAACACCCAAGUUCCAUUGAUAUUGACAAGACUUGAUUGAAUCAACCAAGAAUCAAGGGUUUGUUGUGAGUCACGAGCAUGGAGUCUGGGUAAGAACCAUCCCAAAGGAGUGUACUAAAGGUAAAACUUAUAGAUCAUGUUCUAAAAAGAUCCCAGAGUCUUAAUUCCAUCUGUCAGAUAUUACAGGUUAGGAUGACUGACCCAUCAACCCAUUGUAAUACCCCAAAAUUUACCUUAUAUUUUUCUUGGAAGCAUGGGAUUAUUGUUUCACCUCAUUAGCAUUAUAUUAGGUCAUACUCAUUGCAUACUACAUUAGUGACAUGGCAAAUCAGGGUUUGAUCGACCACUCCUUAACCAGAGGGAGCCCACAGAAAGAAAGACUGAGAAUGGGACUUCAUUUUCUAUGUAUAAAAGUCUCAAAGGUCUCAAGGGGUUCCAUAUGUCUUAUUGUGAUCCACAGUUCAUCAGCGGAAGAUUCAGAGCUCUCAGAGUGUGCAUCUGCAUUUAAUCAGAAAUUAGGGUUUCAUGGCUAUCUGCAACAGGCAAUGUUUGAUUGUAAGUAAAGGGGGCUCAUUCAUGUCAUGAUUAUAGAGGCAUCUUGGCCUAGUAAGAUUCACAAUUAUCUCACAAAGAUCCAUUGACAAUCAAUGCAAUCAGUUCCUAGUCAUUUUUGCCCUAAACUAGGGUUUGGUAUAAAAUUGGUUUAUUUCUGAUUCCUUGGGUGAAACUCUUUUCCAUGGACCUCCAUAUGUCCACAAGGGUCUACAUACAAAAAAUCAGCUCUUUAUUUGAGCUAGGGGUGCUUCAACUGAUCAAUGGAGUUAGGAAUCAGACAGUUUGGGAAAAGUCAACCGUGGGGCCAAAAAAGUCAACUCCUGGCAUUUUGAAAGUGGAAUCUCAAAAUUCAUGCCUAAGGAAGCCUACAUGUGAAAUUUUAUCAAGGUUGGAUCAUGGAUUCAUCAUUUAAUCAGGAGUUGGAAAAGUUACUAAAUUUGGAAAUAGUUGACUUUCCAUUUAGGGCAAGUUUUUAUGGUUUUUGCACCCACUUUAAGCCCAUAUUCCAUCAAGAUGCAUGAUCCAUUUGAAACUUUCUCAGACAUUAAAGUUGUUCCUCUUGUUCCAAGCUUUCUAGAGAUAUAAAUUUUGUUUUAUUUGGAUUAAAAUUGAGAAAGUUAUGCUUGGUCAAAGUGGGACAUUAUUUUAGGACACUUAGAAAAUUUUCUAAGUCCAAAAUUUUCAAAAUUUGUCAAGACUUAUGGGCCAGAUUUCUUGCACUCCAAGGCAUCUUUUGAAAAUACUUUUUUUCAUGAAAGUUGUACCUUGCUAUAUCCUCUUUCACAUCCUUUUGGAAUCAUCCCAUUUGGAUCAUUAGUUUGAAAGAUACACUCAUCUAAAGUUGGUAUCAUAGACUGAAUUUUUUGACAGCAUUUAGGCCAAACUGGCCCAACCAUUCUGCAGUUGUGAGAUCUGCACUUUAUGGCCAUUUUUCACCUUUGUCCACUCAUCAUUUCAAUGUGUGUUCAACAUGAAAGAUGUUAAGCUCCAUGCCCUCUUUCUACUGUUUGCAUUGCCUUGCCAUUUGGUUACAUACUCAUCAAGAUACAAGGUCUUAAAGUCACCCUGUUGGACUAUUUUUGUGCUGACUACUGUUUGCAUUGCCUUGCCAUUUGGUUACAUACUCAUCAAGAUACAAGGUCUUAAAGUCACCCUGUUGGACUAUUUUUGUGCUGCACAAGCCAAACCAAAUCAGACCACAAAACCAACCAACACGCUUUUUACCUCAUUUGGCCAUUUGCUUUAUGUUCACUCACUUAUGUUUUGCUACAUUUAAAACUUGCUCAUACCACCCCACUUUUUGCAUCAUUUUGUCAUGAACCAAACCAAGCCUUUCAAGCCCAUUUUAAACACUUUGAAUCCAACAUAUAUAAGCUUAGAAACCCUAAUCUGAGAGAGAGGCUGCUACAUUUUCGACCUAAGCAAGAGCAAGGCAAGUGGACAAGGUUGCUCUCUUUCCAUUUCUAUUCACAAGUUUGCAAAGCACCUCAUUUUCCAUUUUCCUCCAUCUUCAAGGGGCAGUGGACCUUACAUCCACCAGGUAAGCAUCUUUUCACUCUCUUCCAUGGUAAUAUUUCAUGCUCACACCAUGCCAAGCACCUCAUUUUCCAUUUUCCUCCAUCUUCAAGGGGCAGUGGACCUUACAUCCACCAGGUAAGCAUCUUUUCACUCUCUUCCAUGGUAAUAUUUCAUGCUCACACCAUGCCAUGCUUAUGCUUACUCUUUGUUUAUUUCAUGUUAUCCAUCCUUGUUUCGUGUUAUGUUUCAUUUAUGCCAUGCUUGUUCCAUACUUAUUUUCCAUGUUAAUACCAUGCCAUGAUUGUUUGUAAAGCCCUCAACAUGAGGCAUGUUCAUUAAGUUGGAGUUUGUGACAUUAUUUUUUUGUUGAAUCCGGGUGCAUGAAGCUCCUUUGCUGUUCACUUUUCUCUAUGCUAAGGCCAUUAUUUUUAAUGAAACAAAGCACCAUUGUGUUCUACUCACUUUGUACUAGAACUUUGGUUUUUACAUCUUGCCAUUUCGUGAACCAGAGCGCGAGCAAUGUUGGUUUGAAGAUGAGCGAGAGUAGGCUGCGUUUCACGCGUUUCCAGCAUGCAUUUAAGGCUUUUCACAUUUGCAUGAAGGAUUGGGAUGUGUCGCGCCAACAGCCAUUCGAUCCCAUGUGUCCCUUGUAAUCUCAACUGUCCGCCCUUCUUUUGUCCUGUAGUGGCUUUAAAUGAAACCUUGUCCAAUUGACCAGCACGUUCACAUGUUUUAUUAAAAUGAACAUUUUAUUAUGCAAUGUCACGCUGAAUAAUACUUGGGCUGGGCUUAGCGCCUGCUAUCCGCCCCCCACCCAUCAAACCCAAUUCCAUUUCAUUUUAUUUGCUUUUUCAAUUCAUUUUAUUUUUUCUGUUUUGUUUUUUAAUUCUUAAAAACAUUUUAUUUAUUCAUAAAAAUAUCACAAAAUACUUUUCACUUUCCUUAAUGUUUUAUUUAAUUUCCUUAAUUUUUAUUUUCAUAUUUUAUUUAAUGUUAAUAUUUUAUUUUAAUUAUUUGUUUCAAAUAGUCCAUUUUAACACACAUUUUUUCAUUAAUUUUAUUUUCAUGACUUAAAAUUAUUUUUAGAUUUUGAUUUUUGGGAUGAGGGUUGACCAAUGUCUCAUGGUCAACCUGAACCUUUCUUGGAAUUUUAUUUCCCAUUUUCAUAUUAUUUUGGAUUUAUUUUUGACCUAGUUUGCUUGGUUGACUUUUCAUUUGACUUCUAUUUCAUUUCAAUUAAUUUAUACACUAAUUCACAUUAUUUUUGAAAUCUUUUUAGGGGAUGAUGAUGUCCUGACCCCACCCUAGUUAGUUUAAUUUUUCAUAAUUUUAUUGAUUAAUUUACUAUUUAUUCCAUAUUUUUCAAGUUGACUUGACUUUUCAGUUGACUUUUCUAUGAUUGAUGUUUGACUUAGGGAUUGCUUAGGGAAAUUCAAGAGUAUUUUGAUCCUCCCUUGUUUAUCUCAUAUGCCAUGUAUUAGAGGCCUCUCAUCUUGAUUUUAUUUGAUCCUUGUAUCAUUUCCCGAUUAAGUUAUUCAGUGAUCCUUUGUGUGCAUAGUUUCACCUGUCUGUUUCAUCUGAUAUUUUUUAUGCUUGUUUCUUUCAUCCAUGCUUCCAUUGUUUGAUUGUUUAACAUGUUUAUACUUCUCAUGCAUUGUCUAAUGCACAUUCAUUAAAUUCUUUGAUUAUUUGAUUUGAUCAUAUACUUGUUUAUAUAUCUUAUUGUUUGAUUGAAUGUGGCCUACUUGUAUGAUGUAUGAGGCACGUAUUUUUAUUGUGUGAUUGCCAUGAACAACCCCCAUUCAUAACAAAUGUACCCCUCUUCCAUUGAAGUGUAUAAUGUUUAUUCUUUCAUUCUUUAUUCAUCUGUUAAUACAAGAAUUAAAACUAACACCUGAUAACUAUUUCAAAACAAGAUCAAAACCUCGAUCCAACGUCGAGUAAUCAUUUUUUCCAAACUUAACACAACCAGCACGUAUUCAUUCAUCCUUUUGUAAGUCGAUUGCUUCAUGCAUCGCCAUUUCUCUUGUAAGUCGAUUGCUUUAUGCAUCGCCAUUUACCUGUAAGCCGAUUGCUUCGUGCAUCGCCAUCUACCCUUUACCCCACUCCUUUCCUUGCUCCAUUCGUCGAUUCUUGUUCCGUUUAGGUAGCACCCAUUAGGUAGAACCCUUUGUAUGAUAACCUAGGUAGAAUUCCCUCAUUCUUUGUAUGAUAACAUAGGUAGAAUUCCCAUAUUCUUUUGUAUGAUAACUUAGGUAGAAUUCCCUUAUUCUUUGUAUGAUAACAUAGGUAGAAUUCCUUUAUUUCUUUUGCAUGCUAACAUUAGGUAGAUAUUCCCAUUUGUAAAUCCUAACACAUAAGUACAUAUUACAUGACAACUCUAGGGCAGAGCUUCCCCAUUCUUUUAGACCUUCCGUGCGUCUCCGAUCCUGUGGCAUGUCACUCCGUUCUAUUGCAAAGAGGUAACUGCCUAAGACUCGAUUCAGCGAGCUGCGACACCUACUGCUACGACGUGAACACAUUGCCCACUCUCCUUUGACACAACUGGUGUCUUCCUUUUUAAGUCCAUGUUCAGAUGGCAAUCCCUAUGUAGCCGAACUAGGACAACUCUGAUUCUCAUGUUCAAAUGAGAUACGUAGGCACAAGAUGAGAUGUCUUGCCGAGUUUGACUAACGACUAACAACUAAUCCUUGCUUGCUUUCGCCCUUAUUGCGAUUCUUUUCUCUCUCCCUCGUUGCGAUCGAGACCUUCCCUUUCUCUUGCCCUAGUUGCAAUCGAGACCCUUAUUCCCAUAGUUAGCUGAACUACGUUUUACUCUGAUUCUCAUUCCAGAUGAGAUACGUAGGCAUAAGACGCAAUGUCUUAACGAGCACACAUCUCUUUAACCCAUAGGUAGCCGAGCUACGAAGACUCUGAUUCUCAUAUUAAGAUGAGAUACGUAUGCAGUGGAUGCGACAUCCGUGCGAGUCAUUUUAUUUUGAACCUUUCUUUUAGUAAAUAGUACAUUAGAUAUACCUAUACCCUUUAGACAAGAACAACAAGAGUGGAUCCCGUAGAGUACUACGGAUGCGUAGGGGUGCUAAUACCUUCCCUUCGCAUAAUCGACUCUCGAACCCAAGAUUUGGUUGCGGGACCUUGUCUUUUCCUUUCCUUUCUUCAGGUUUACUUCGAGCGUUUCCUUUCCCUCCUUUGGGAUAAAUAACGCACGGUGGCGACUCUUCUGUCAUUUCUUUUCUCGCCGGUUGUCUUUUCGCACAUCUAUUUUUUUUAGGCUGCGACAGCUGGCGACUCUGCUGGGGACCGAACCCAGAAUAUCUGGUUUCCCUAAGCGAGUCCCUCCUAGAUUUUGUAGGUUCCUUGUUUGUUGGGUGUUUAUUUCUUUUGUACAGUUAUUUAUUUUCAGCAUUUACCUGCUUUAUCUCAUUGCAUUGUGUACAUAUCAUUGCCUGUAUCUGCUGUAUCUGUGGGGUUGUUUGUUUUGUUGGGGUGGGAUGUUUUAUGAGAGAUAAGCCCACUACCCAGGCUUGAGCGUACACACAGGCUUUAGAGUGGAUAGUCAUGAGGCUUGCGUGGCAUGUUGCUACGUUAAGUCGUUCAUGAGACCCACAUCCAGACGAGGUUUCUUUUGGAUAUAUUAUGUCCUAUGGGUGUUCCAUAACGACAGGUGUUCCUCUAGAAAUCGUCGACUCUGGUGACCAUUUCCCGAGAACUUAGUCGAGGCCUCUCCUCCGAGACGCGUUUAUGUUAGCUCUGAUGGGCGCAUUCUCGCUGCGCAAUCCGAGGACCCCGAGACUGGGAACUUGCUUUAGGAUAUCCUAUUGAGGGGAGUCAGUGGAGGCCUUUUGUCUCGUAAUAAUGCCAAACCUUCAGUGGUAAACGUAUUAUUCUUGACUGAAGGGCUGAAGCUGAUGAACUUCUAUUCUUAGAACCUACCAGUGAGGGGCGGGCUAAAUUCAGGAAACCUUAACCUUCAACCAACCCGGUUUUCUGGAGCGGAGCUUUGAUCUCGUUAUAUAUUCUUCAGUGGGUUUCUCUUCAGACAGUGCAACCUGACAGCUAUCCGAGCAGAUACAACAGUCUUGAUUUCUAUGUCACUGCAUUGCAUCACAUCAUUUACAUUCACAUCAUUUAAUACAUGUUUAUCUACUUCUAGGGUUUAUAUCUUCCUCUUGAUUCCGGUCGGGGUUUUCUGGUUCUCCUAGGAUGGAUAUUGGCAGAAAGAGACACGUCGCCUACAAGUUUCAUGUGGUUUGUUUGGAGCCUAUUCAACAGCUGAUGAAGUUAUUGGAGCACGAUUCUCUAGAAGGAUUCCGGAAGGAUUACGGUUUGAUUCUAAGUUUCGUCACAAUUCUCUCCAAAGAUCAACACGAUGCUGUCUUUACUCUACUGCAGUUCUAUGACCCUCCAUUGAGGUGUUUUACAUUCCCAGAUUAUAUCUUGGUCCCUACUUUGGAGGAGGUUGCUAGUUUUCUCAGAGUUCCUAUCAAGUCACAGUUGCUAUUCUACAGUUCCGAAUUUCUGCCCGAUAUCAGCAUGGUUGUUUCGGCCACAUAUUUGGGGAAAUCAGUCUUGAAGUCUAAUAUGUGUCAGAAGGAAGGAGUCAGUGGUUUUCAUUUGAGUUUCUUAGUGGGGGAAGCCAAGAAGAAGCUUGAAGAUGGUGAUCAAAGGGGUUUCAAUGUUGUGUUGGCUCUUUGUGUGUAUGGGAUUGUCCUGUUCCCUAAUGUUGCAAAAUUUGUGGACACAGACGCAAUACGCCUCUUCAUGUUGGGAAAUCCGGUGCCGACCUUGCUAGGAGAUUUCUUUCAUUCAGUGCAUCAUAGGAGUGAGAAUAGAAAAGGAGGAUUGGUGAAUAAGUGGUUCAGUUCCCACCUACCCAAGUCAGGAGCGUUCGUUGAUCUCAAGGACUCGUUGAGUUGGUCGAAGAGACUGAUGGGGAUAAGAGCUAAAGAUAUUUCUUGGUGGUCAGACCAGAACUUGCUCCGGGAGGAUAUCAUUCACAGUUGUGGGAACUUCCCGAAUGUGCCAUUGGUAGGAAGAAGUGGAGGUAUCAACUAUAAUCCUUCUCUAGCAGUCAGACAGUUUGGAUAUGCUUUAAGAACUCCGCCUUUGGAAAAGGAUGUGGAAGAAUCUUUGUUUUUCCAUUCUUCAUCUGAUCUGACUGUAUCCCGUAAGGCAGCUGAGGCCUGGCUCAAGGUGAUCAAGAGAGGAAGGAUUGUGCUUGGAAAAGGAGAUUGCAGGACUUAUCCUCAGUAUGAAGAUUGGCUUCAGGGAAGAGUUGAAGAGUUUGGUCUGCCGUUUCCUAUUGAAGAACCUUUGUAUCCACCUACUCCUGAGCAGUCAAAAUGAAGAUUGGCUUCAGGGAAGAGUUGAAGAGUUUGGUCUGCCGUUUCCUAUUGAAGAACCUUUGUAUCCACCUACUCCUGAGCAGUCAACAAUGGUGAGCCGAGAGGAGUAUGACAAAUUGAAGAACGCCAUGGAGGAACUUCAAACUGAAAACUCGGAGUUGAGUGCAAAGUUGCAAGACUGUAUGCAUCUAUACCAUGAGGCGGAAUAUCAGAAGGGGGAGGCUAUCAAAUUGCGAGAGGAAGCAGAGAAGAAAUUAGCUAUGAAGGUGGACUUCUUCAGGAAGACUGACAAAGCCUUGGGAUCAUCCAGUUCUGAGUUGAGGCGAGUCAAGCAGCAGUUAAUGGAUGCCCAUGGUAAGUUAGCUGGGUGGCAAGAGCAGUGGGAUGCAUUUUCAGCUUCUCGGAAGGCGAAAGAGGAGGAGAUGGUGGCUGAAUUGACUGGUCAAAUGGAAAAAUUGAAGACUCAGCUGAAGGAUAAGAACAAUGAGCUUCUGUGUGCCCGUUCAACUAAUGGUUACGUCACAGAUCAAUUCAACAAGGCUCAAGAACAGAUUGAAGAACUCAAGGUGUUGGCAGGUUUGAAGAGGUUUAAACUUGAAGAGGUGUUCGGGGAGGAUAAUGAGAAUUACUACUUAGAGCACAUCAACGAACUGGAUGGGAUUAUUCACUAGAGGAAUUUGCUUAUCCGGCGUUUGACAGAAUCUCCAGAUCAUCCUGACACAGUGGCACUACUGGCUGAAGUGAGGAGAAGUCCUUAUGGGUUGUAUACAGGGAGAUGAUUCCUGGUUUCUAUUCCUCUCUUUACUUGUUGUGUCUCUUUAUUGCUUUAUAGUGAUGACUUGCAGGCUUGUUGUGGGAAUCCUCUUUUGAUAUACUGUUGGCUAAGGCCUUUCUCUUUGAACUCAUUUGUAUGAAGGUUUUCUCUCUAUUGCAUCUGGAUCUCAGAAGCUUAUCCACGACUCGGUCUGCUUGCACUUUUAUCUGAUGUGAGACAGGAAUCAAGGGGGUAAAACACCCUUUGGAAUUGAUAAACAUGUCAUUGCAUUUACAUAUUCAUUUGCAUGUCUUGCAUAACAGGUACCGCUGCGGUGUUCUCAUAUUAUUUGGUGUUCCACUAGUAGGAUAACUGACUCAGGAAUUCACCGGUACGGUACUCGCAGAAAUCAGCAGAGAGCAAUGGAAGACCUACAAGCAGAGCUCGCCGAGAUGAGAAUCUGCAUGACCCAAUUCAUGGAUGUGGUUCAGGGAGUGGCUCAAGGACAGCAAGAGCUCAGACAGAUGAUACAAAGGAAUCCCGCUACUACUCAACCAGAGACGGUGACUGAUCCUCCAGCUGGAGAGGUUAACGGACCCAGUGGACCAGGGCCUACCCCGAUCCCACAUGUCAACUCUGGUCAAUAGCCCGUCCAUGAUGAUCAGGACGAUCAGUUCACCUUGAUGCAGGAGGAUUUUGGCAUGGGCCAUGGCAUGGACCCCAUGUUCAGGAGAUUAGAGGAGAGGCUGAAGGCAGUGGAAGGACAGAACCCUCUGGGGGUAGAUGUUGCUGACUUGGGGCUGGUCCCAGGUGUGAGGGUGCCACCAAAAUUCAAAGUUCCGAUAUUUGACAAAUACAAUGGCAACUCUUGCCCAAAAACUCAUGUGCAAGCCUACUUCCGUAAGAUGGUUGCAUACUCCGAUGACGAAAAGCAGCUUAUGUACUUUUUCCAGAAUAGCCUAGCUGGGGCAUCCCUGGAAUGGUAUAUGAGGCUGGACAGAGCCCACAUCCGUUGCUGGAGGAAUUUGGCUGAGGAUUUUGUAAAGCAGUAUCAGUACAACGCUGAUAUGGCACCGGACAGAACCCAACUUCAAAACCUGUCUCUCAAGAGCAACGAAUGCUUCAGAGAGUAUGCUCAUCGCUGGAGAGAGACAGCUUCCCAUGCUCAACCUCCUAUGUUGGAGAAGGAAAUGGCCAACAUGUUCAUGAACACUCUGCCCAGACCUUACUUGGAGCGUCUGGUGGGUUGCAAUGCCUCCAACUUUGUUGAUGUAGUCUCUACCGGUGAAAGAGUGGAGAACUAUUUGAAGACCUGCAAGAUCCAGAAUGGAGUUAGAUCAUCAUCAGGGUGAAAAAGCCGUUCAUUCAGGGAGAGAAACGGAGAGAGGGGGAUGCUAACUCUUUGUCUUCAUAUCAGAGCAGGGGUUUCAGAAGGAACAGUUUUCAAAAUUAUCAUCAACAACCGUAUGUUGCGGCUAUGACCAUUCCGGCUGCGGCACCAGUGCAACAACAACAACCACAACGUCAACCAACUCAAUACCAACAACAACAACAGGGUAACAAACCCGCCUAUCAACAGAGGCAAAAGAUGAUGGAUAGGCGUUUCGACACUCUUCCAAUGUCGUACACUCAGUUGCUUCCUAGCCUUUAACAGCUACAACUCGUGCAGUUACGCACUUUGGCUCCUCCUGUUGGCAGGCUUCCAGUGGGCUAUGAUGCCAACGCUAGGUGUAACUUCCACUUUGGGGCACCUGGCCACAAUAUUAAGAACUGCAAAGCUUUUAAGCACGUAGUUCAGGACCUCAUCGACUCGAAGGCUAUUAACUUUGCGCCGACUCCUAACGUCGUCAACAAUCCCAUGCCGCAGCAUGGUGGUGCAAAUGUUAAUAUGCUGGAAGGAGAAGCCAGGUCCGUAAAGGAUGUGUUGAAGUUGAAGACUCCACUGUUGGAGAUUAAAGAACACCUGCUGAAGGCCGAUGUUUUCCCCGGUUGUGGGAAGGGUUGUUUGGAUUGUGCUACACAUAGCAAGGGUUGUCUGAAGCUGCAACAAGGUAUCCAGGCCUUGCUUGACAAUGGUAUCCUCCAAGUUGAAGACUUGUCUGUUCAAGAGAUUGUUGAAGGGGUUGCUGGAGAGGUGUUUGAAGAUGCUGUUGAAGAGUUCACAAAUGAUGAUCCUUUUGAUUGUGUAAUUCCUGAUAAUAUAUUUAAUUUUGCUGAUGUUGUUGCUGAUAUCCCAAACAAUGUGGUUGAUUCUGAUGUAAUUGAACUUGAUUCCGAUGUUUCGGAUGUUUAUGUUUCAAUGAAUGAGAUUUAUGAGUAUGACUGUGGUGUUGCUACUAUCACCAUUUUCUAUCCAACUGCUCAGAUCAGUGUGCCAGAAGCACAACCAGUGCGACCGUCCACUAUGACCAUCACUAGCCCUGGUCCUUUACCUUUCACCAGUGAAAGAGCCAUUGCUUGGCAUUAUGGGGGGAGUGUAUAUACGCACGAUUAUGGAGUGGAGCAGCCACUGAAAAUAGAGGAGGUGCAAAAUCAGAAGGUUGAAUCUGAGGUGGAAAUAGAAGGUCCCGUAGUGGACAAUGUCAGUGGAAUCGGGCGAUUCACCAGGAGUGGUAGACUGUUCUCACCACCGGUUACCCAAGCCGAUAAUGCUGACGCCGCGGUGAAAGCCAAAGGCAAACAAGCUGUGAAUGAGGGUACUUCUGCACCACAGGCUGGUUCUGAGCCUGCUUUUACGAAGGAUGUGGACGAGCUUUUGAGGAUCAUAAAGAAAAGCGACUACAAGGUACUCGAUCAGCUGAUUCAGACACCGUCCAAGAUAUCUAUUCUCUCACUCCUGCUAUGUUCGGAGGCACACAGGGAGGCACUUCUAAAGGUCCUUAAUGCUGCUGUAGCCGUGUAUUCGUCACCAUCGGAAAUAUUAACUAGAUCCGAGGUAAAUCAUACAAUGAAUCGUGUCGCCACCGCACUUCUAUUUAUCCAAAGGAAAGGUUAGAAAGCGAACAAAAACCUAAAAGUUUUACAAACAAAACUAGUAAAAGAAGGUCAGAGAUCUGGGUAAGGGGGUUGGUUACGCAAUUGGAAGGUGUUAGGAACCCAAAACGUCCUAGGUACUCCUAGGGAGCCCUUUUCACAACUUGUUAUAGAAAUUAUUUGUUUAUGAAAUUUUUAUUGUGCAAAAAUGAUUGAAGAGAUGAGAAAAGAAUGUACAAGUUAUUUACAUUUUUGUGUUUGGAUGGAUGAAACCCAUUGCCUACGUGCCUUUCAUGAAAGAUAAGGAUCAAAACACCGUAGUUCGGCUAAAAGAUUUCAAAAAGAUGAGUGGGUUGAUUUUAAACAAAAGCCUUAAGGUCUUUCGUUAUCAAAGGGAGAAAACUCAACCUAAAUCAACAACAAGUCCACCAUGUGAGAACAGAAAGCCUUAAGGUCUUUCGUUAUCAAAGGGAGAAAACUCAACCUAAAUCAACAACAAGUCCACCAUGUGAGAACAGCUUCAACAUGCUAGUGAGGGGUUAACCCUAUAAUAAGCAGGGAAGUCUUAUAGUUCAAUCACUAAGGACAAAAGGUGAGAUUCACAUCAACCACUAAGAUAACUCAGAUAUAUGGCUAAUGCAUGAAAACUUGAUUAAGAAGUGGACAUGGGCCACAAAAGACAAUUGAGUGAGUGGAAUUAACCAAUUAGAAGUAUUCACAAACAUGUCAAAGUUGAUUAGAGAUUCAAUUCACAAUGAGUGUUAUGAAAAUAAAGUUUGAAAAUCAAAGGCAUAAGGCCUAGGUUUCUAGUUUGAAAACAAGUCAAAUGUUUGCACAAUAGUUUUCUGGUUUUGGGUUAAGGAUGAAAAUAUGGAUCAAGGUUAAGCAUGCAAGAGGUGAUGGUUAAGGGACAAUGCCACAAACAUGGUUACUUUCUCAAGAUCAUAGAAAUGAUCCAAGUAAGUUCCUUUGGAAAAGGUCAAGCACAAGGGCAAAAAGCAAGAUAAAGCAUGGUAUCAGAGAAAAAUAAGCAAGAGGAAACAAGAUGCCAAUAGCUGGUCUUACACUCGACUCCAAGGAAAUGGAAUGCCAAUCAAUGGUCUUACAUCCAACUCCUAACAACACAAAGGAAACAAAUGCCAAUAGCUGGACUUACAAUUGACUCCUCAAAGGACAAGAUAAAUGUCACAAAGUAUGACAAUGAUCAUGGUAAUGAUAUACAAGUAAUGCUCAAAAAUAUAGAAACAAUGCACAGAGGCACACACAAACAUCAAUGCACAGAUGAACAAACAAUCACACACUAUACACAAACAAGAGGCUUCACACAAGGGUGGGCUUUAGUCAAGGGGUCAUAUCAACCUCGACAAACAAGCCAGCUGUAUAAGUGUAAAUAGAUGCUCUUAACCACUAACAUUGAGAGUUAGGGUGAGAGAUGAAACGGGAAAUGAGGAUUAGACCUCAUGGAUCUUAACCCUGGCCUGGGUGAGCUCAAGACACUAAAGUGUGGGGAUCCAGAAUGAGGAAUCCUAUUCCACAUGACUGACUCAACAAGAUUUUGGGUGUUUAUUCAGAAGCAUCAGCACAUAGUGCGAGCAUAAUGAAAGACUCAACUGAAUAGCAGGGGAUUGAUUGCAAAUCCCUUCUAUCUGCCAAUUGCCUCUUCACUCAAGAGGUCUUAAUAUGUAACCAUGCCUCAUUGAGGUCUUUAGCACAAAAUUAAACAAUCAAGAACAUGGCCUCUUAAGGAGGGCUUCAGACAGGUGCCUGCCAAAGAUAGCAGGACUUCCAGACUACAUGGAGUUAGAGAAGUUACCUAAGUGGUAUACCAACCACAAGCAAAGCAAAGCUCAAGUAAUGAGCUAAAGCGACUAAAGUACCUGUACAAAAGGCUAGUCAAUUAGUAACUCAGACAGAUAAACAGAAAACAGACAAAACCAACAGUGGUUCCCAAUAUGUACAUAAAGCAAGUCCUAAAAGGCAAUCAUUCAAGUGAAUUCACCACCAAAGGACCUACAACACAAUCAAAGUUAGUUAACCAAAUUAACUUGCAUCUCAAGUAAUGAGAUCACAUCAAUCAUUAUGGCUAAUUUGCUUGAACCUGAAAUACAAAGCUCAAAAGGUGAGUACAAACCACUAGUACAAAGACUAUGGUCAAAGGCAAAGCAAAAAGUCAAAACAGAAGUUGAUUCUCAACAUGAAGCACAUUUAAUCAAGCAAGAACAUGUCCUAAAAAGGACCAAGUCUAAAGCAUCAAGCAAAGUCAUCACGUGAGCAAGAUAUGGCAAAGGCAAUUACAAAGCACACAAUUGGACAUCAAGAAUCAACAUUCCAUAUUAAAACAGAAAUGGAUCAAACAAUCAUGAAUUUUUUUAUGUGUGCAUAACAUGUUAAACACAAGCAUCAUGCAAAAUAUUAGAAUUAUAAGAGAUCAAUUGACAUAUCAAUGAAAAUGAACAAGUAUGACAUAAAAUUGUGUGACACACAUUGUCACACCAUACAUUCAUGUGCCUAAAACAGAGAUGAAAAAUGAUAAAAAUGCACAACCAAGCCUCAAAAAUCAUGUAACAUGUUAGGAAUCAACAUGCCAAAUUUCAAAUCAAUUGGCCAAUGUAUGAGCAUUUCACAAGAGAAUUGGUACAACAUGUCACACUUGCAUACAUGCUCAAAUAACAGUCCACAAUGAAAAAACCAGAAAUGAUAAAAUCAGGAAAUCACAACCACAAAAUAAUAGACAUCCAAAUGAACAUGUAGCAAAAAAUUGGAAGUGAUUUGGAUUAAUUUUCAAUUUAUUAUGAUUUUUUGAAGUUGGAUAAAAAUAUUUGAAAUAAUGUGAAUCAUGCACAUGAUAAUUGGAGGGAAAUGAAAUUGGAUUGAUGAAUUUGAAAAAAUGCUGGAGCGGAGGAUCGAACCAUGUACAUGAAAAAAGAAGCGCUGAAACAAAUAAAUUCCAAAAGUGGCACAGCCAGGAAUCGAAGGAGGUGUGGCGUUUUGUACAAAACGCAGCGUACCACUUAAUGAAGUGGCACGCCAGUCAACAGGUCAAGCCGCGUGGGAUUGGUCAAAGAGAGCGUGGCCUAUCAAUUUGACAACAGGCAAAGGCGUGGCAGCUGACAAGGCAAUAAACCCUAGCAUUUAAACACAGCGGCGGCCAGCGGUGGUUUCCACCGUCUUCUUCAUUGAGACGGUGGUGCUACAGUAACGUGUUCAUCAAAAUUCUCCAGAAAACAACAAAAAGCAUACCAAUCGAAAGCUUAUUCUAUGUACAACACGAAUCCAGGCUCAAUUCACAGUAAUUCCUCAUAACCAGUGCAAAUCGAAGAGAAAACAUAAUUGUAUUCAAAACUUCUACUCAGCAUAACUCAAUCAAUACUCAACCAUUUCAAAUUCUAAAAGCAUCAGGAUAAUCAGCAUGAAAAGAUCUACCAUAACAUGUGCAUAAAAUGGAGAAUCAUGAGGUUCGAAUUCUAACCUCUUUGAAGAGAAGAAGAUGAAAACAAGUGAUUCAAGUGCUCAAACGAUCCAGAUCCACUCCUAUGUUGAUGACUUGAAGCUUUAUGUAUGAAUUGAAGCUUGGAAAGGCUUGGAUCUUGAUCAGAUUGCAACUUCCAUCUUCAUGUUCUUGAGCUAAGUGCUCAAACGAUCCAGAUCCACUCCUAUGUUGAUGACUUGAAGCUUUAUGUAUGAAUUGAAGCUUGGAAAGGCUUGGAUCUUGAUCAGAUUGCAACUUCCAUCUUCAUGUUCUUGAGCUUGUGCAGCUUGAUUCUGGCUCGAAUUCUUCAAAUCAAUUGCCAAAUCCUACUCAAUGACACAUGAAGAACACGAUUCUACAAGAAUUUUGAUGAUUUAGAUGAAGAAUUUUGAAAAUUGAAGAGAGAGAAAUUUGAGAAGGAAGUGAAAAAUCUAGAUCUAGAAUGUGAUUCUUCAGAAUUCUGUUAUGAUUUAGGCUUUAUACUCUGUCCUAAUCACCUUGCUAAUCAAAAUUUGCAUUGGUUAAUUGAGAUUAAGAUAAAAUGAGGUGCAUGGCAAAAUAAGUAAAAACACCUAUGCAUGGUAAGGCACACGUGAACAGUGCCAUAUGAAUGUGUAAUUUCACUUAAAAUCAACUCAUGCACAUAAUUGGAUUGGAAUUUAGCUCAUGUAAUGCACCAAAUUUGAAAUAUGCAUUUUCCCUCCAAAAUGAACAUGCAUGGACAAAUGAUCAUGUGAUUAAAUUUCAUGUAAUGCAAUGUUGGAUUUGGAAAAUAUAUGUCAUGACAAGCAAUAUGCAAAAAGAGGGACUCAUUUUAGAGCUUUGGUUCAAAAGUUAUGGCAUGUUGAAGUUCCAUGCACACUUGGCAAUCAUUUGAUCAUAAUUCUUCAACCAUUCAUCAGAUGCUCAUGAUCUUAGGCUUUUUGGAAAUGGGAGAGAAAGAUAUUCAUCUUUCAUUUUCAACAAAAUUUCAUUUGAAGCUUCCUUGAUGUUGGAAAGUUUGGUUGAAUGUGAACCAAAAACUUGCUAUUUUUGGAAACUUGAAAUUAUAGGUCACUUUCCAUUUUGGGAAACUUUUGACUUGACUUCAAAAUCUUCAAUAUGGAUGUUUGAAAUGAUGAAUAGGCAUUGUUUGAACAUGAAUGAGGAUGUUAAGAUCAAUUCCCCAACCUCAAAGCCUUCAAUUGAUGUUCAGUUGAUUGUAUUGGGCCUCAGAUGACCUGAAAAUGUCUUGAUGAAUUUGAACCUCCACCACUUGGAAUUUUGCUUCCAAAUGAAACCAUAGCUCAUAAAGCUCAACAUAAUCACAUGGUGCAUGUCUCAAGAAAAUACCAUCUGCCUUCUCUGUUACAAGGGAUGCUCAUGAAUGGCUUGACCUGUGCUUGCUUGAUGCUACAAAACAAAAUGUUAGAUGACAUAUUUUUGUACUUUUGUUUAAUGAUUAAACAAGAAAAGCAAUGAUAUACAAUGCAUACAAUGCCUGGUGAUCUCAAACCACUCAACAGGAUAUCCCAUCCAAAGCGAAAGAAAGCAAGAAGCUCAAAAGAUCCUUGAGGCUAUGUAAUGCAAUGAUAUGAUGCCAUGGGGGAUCUUAGGGACAAAAUUGGGGUCUUACAGAUGCCCCUAUUUAAGGUCAUUCAAGCCGGAGAAGUGAAGGUUAAAAUCUUCAUCUUGACGCGGUAGAAUGGGCUUAAAUAAUAACAAAGAGACAAAUUUUGGUCCCUAAGAGACCUCAUGGUGCAAAUGUAUGAAUGCAAAACAAACUAUCUCUGUGGGAAUAUAUGUCCACAAAGAAGAAAAGAACGAAUGGAUAAAAAGAACAAAUCCCAUGAAAAGUUCAUUCUAUGGGGGAAAGAUCCUACUGGGGAACAGAGGAUCAAAAAUACGUGAGCAGGUCACGAUUUAAAACUGGGGAAAAAGGGUUUCCAGAGGGAAUAAAUCCAUUGGAAAGGCUCGAAACUGACUCGAAGGCGCACGUAUUGGGGAACAUGCCAAUACAGCAGAAUUAUCCACAAAGGAUACUUCGGAUAAAAUCUGGAAACAGACUGAGUAAGGAUGAAUAAAAUAUCCCUGCCGGGGAAAAUGCAUGUAUUGGGGAAUAUUCCCAAAACAGCAAAACUAUCCACAAAGGAUACUUCGGAUAAAAAUCCGGACACAGAGGGGAACAAUCCACUAAGGGACUCCACUGGGGAUGUCUAAAAAGACAAUCCUGGGGAAAUAACAGGAAUGAGGUGUUACCGGUUACUGGGUAACAAACUCAGGAAGAAAUGAAUAUCAAAGACCGGUAUGAGGGUGAGAGAUAUCAAAACUUCAAACAUCUGAGGAAGACCUGAAAAGGUAUAUUUCGACUCAGGAAAAUAUGACUCCACAGGGGACAAACAAUCACAAAAGGGAGCAGAAAGGAAGGAACACCAAAGAUACCGGGUUGUAGGUAUGUAAAAGGUGACCGACCGAGACGUGAAUUGGUUUGUGUUCUAAAACACUCAUCAUCCUGAAGAGAGCUGAAAAGCAAACUUGUUUAUAGGAUGGACAUUCGACUCCACGAAAGUGAAAUACGAAUCUUACUCUGCUGGAGAAAACAAUCAAAAGAUUGACCAAAGAGUGCAUGAGAUAUAUUAUCUAUUACCGUCAAAACAUAGAUAAUAUACUCGCAUGGAAGAUUAUCCACAACCGGGUUGUAAGUUGUUAAAAGAUAAAUCGACCGAAAGCGUGAAUUGGUGUGUGUUCCAAAACACUCAUCAUCCUGAAGAGAGCGAGACGCAAACUUGUUUAAAGGAUGGAAUUCGAUUCCGAAACAAAGGAAUACGAAUCUUACUCAAUUGGGGAAGGACAAAAGGCUUCAACCAAAGAGUGCAUGAGAUAUAUUAUCUAUUGCUGUCAUAAUGUAGAUAAUAUACUCGAAAAGGAAGAAUCACCAGGGAUACCAGUUUGUAAGUAUGUAAAAGGUGAUCAACCACAGAAGUGAAUUGGUGUGUGUUCCAAAACACUCAUCAUCCUGGAAGAAAGCUGAAAAAGCAGACUUGUUUAUAGGAUGAACAUUCGAUUCCUGAAUAAAAAGGAAUACGAAUCUUACUCAGCUAGGGAAGAAAAAACUCGACCAAAGAGCGCAUGAGAUACAUUAUCUAUUGCCGUCAAAACAUAGAGAACAUACUCGCAUGGAAGAUUAUCCACAACCGGGUUGUAAGUUGUUAAAGGAUGAAUCCCCCGAAAAGAGAAACAAUCAUUACCAAUAACAACAGGGUAGACGAAAGAUGACUCACUGGGGAUAAAUUGCAAGCAUACGGCAAUUAUCCAGGAGACAUAUCACCGGUUACUGGGAGAUAUGCUCAAAAGGGGUAAAAAUGAAUAUUCGAUUCCGCAAGGAACAUGGAUCUUACUCAACUGGGGAAACACAACAGGCUUCGGCUGAAGAGUGCAUGAGAUAUAUUAUCUAUUACAGUCAGAACUUAGAUAAUAUACUCGCAUGGAAGAUUAUCCACAACCGGUUACUGGGUUAAUAAAGGAUAAAUUGAUCGAAAAGAAAGGCAUCGGGAUACCAAGACUAGGUAUAUAAUGAUGACCAAUCAAAGGUAGCAACAGACAUUACCGGCAAAAGGGUAAAUGAAAGCUGACUCGCUGGGAAUACAUUGAUGAAAAUCAAUGAUCCGGGGAAUACAAUCACUGACAAACGGUGAAAGGAUCCGCUGGGGAUAAAAUUGCUAGCAUACAGAAAUUAUUCACAAGAAGGAGGGAAUAUCAAGACCGAAUAUUGGAUAAUGAUAACCACUACAGAGGGGAUUACAUCUACCGAAUGCUGGGUAGAAAACCACGGAAGAGUAACCGUCAUCGUUUAGGAUGAACAACAAGGUUAACUCUGCACAGGGAGAAAAUAGGAUUUACAACUACCGAAUACUGGGUAGAAGACCAAAGACUUAGCUGAGGAUAAGGCGAAUGAUUGCCGAUUACUGAGCAAUUAUAUACCGAAUACUGGGUAGAAGACCAAAGACUUAGCUGAGGAUAAGGCGAAUGAUUGCCGAUUACUGAGCAAUUAUCCAUCUAACCACAGAGAAGCACAAACUCCGAUGGGGAGAAAAACAACAACAUAGGAUUUACAACUACCGAAUACUGGGUAGAAAACCACAAAAUCCGCCAUCAACCAGAAUGAACCACAAAGGUUACCUCUGCUAGGGGAUGAAAGUAGGAUUUAUAACUACUGAAUACUGGGUAGAAAACCACAAAGAUAGGACUUACAACUACCGGUUACUGGGUAGAGGCCAAAAAAGAUAGGACUUACAACUACCGGUUACUGGGUAGAAGCCAAAAAAGAUAAUUCCACCGGGGAUAAUUUGAAUGAAUUAUUCAUUUAUACCACGGGGAAGCACAAGAGACAGUUGCAAAAAAGGCCAAUUCAGGAUCAAACUAAAAAAGAAAACUGAAUCAAGACUCAUCCUAAUGAGGAUAUAACUCAAUAGGAAAAUCCGUCCCAAUAUAUGUGUUGGGAGGAAACGGAAACAAAUCGUCGUCCACGAUGAUGUAUCUCAGUGGGGAAAUGGCAGGAAAGGAUAGACACUUUCUGCUUAUGGGGCUGACUCUAAAUGGGGAGAUCAGACACACCGACAUCUGCUUGGGGAGAUCUACUGGGGAGAUCUAUAUCGCCAAUUAGCAGGAGACAACAAGCAAAAGAUAUAUGGCAAAGAAUGCAACAUGAAUAUCUGAAUGUUAUGAUUAUGCAUGGUUAUGCGUGAUUUAUGCUUGAUGAAUGAUGACAAACAGACAUAUCUAACACAAACAGGCCCAGGGAACAAACGCCCGGUACUACACCACAGGAGAGAAAGCCAGGAUCACCAGAGAAUAAUCAAUUCUGACGGGAUCAAGAAACAGCAAGAUCUCUGCAAGGGAUGAAUCAUCAUAAAUAAAAUCCACCACCACAAAUCUACUGGGGAUUUAUCCGAGGAAGAGAAGGAGAACUGGGGAUCAACCACCAAACAUCAAUCCUUCUGAAAUACCACAUCUGCUGAGGAGGAAUGAAUCACUGCUCUGCUGAAGGGAAGGGAGGUGAAAACCUCAACAAGCACUCUGAAUGAGGAGGAGUCAUCACAAAGACUCUGCUCAACAAAAUCUGCUCGGGAGAAAAAUCUCAACAGAAACUCCGCUUGGGGAGAAACCCCAACAACAGUCUGGAGAAAGAGGAUACAGCCAAUGCCAGGAAUAUGAACAAAAGUCUUACCCUGUUGGAAAUCAUGCCACCCUCGGGAGAGCACUGAGAAUCUCUUAGGUAUCCUUUCAUCAUUGUGAAUGUUCACUUUGUUUAAAAACAAUUUUGAAAAAGUUUAUUUGUUUGAAACAAUGACAUUUUAUCAAUUAAAACAUGCAAAACAUUUGUUGAAUUGAAACAAAUAAGAGUGCAAAUAAUUGGAUAAAAGCUCAAAUUGAUUUGAUGGAAUGGUAGCCUGCAAAUGGCAAGAUCCAUAAAUCGAUAUACAAUUUGAAUCGGUGAUAUAUUGGAAGAGGGCUACAUUGAACAUAAUGACAUUUCUCUACCAAUUUGAAUCGAUGUUAUUUGAAGCUUCAGUUGAUGAUGACUGAGCGAGAUCUCUGACGAAAAGACAGUGUGUGAAACAGAAAGUCUUGUCAGAUGCAGUUACUUGCCAAUCCUAAUUCUGCCUGAUUGCCCAGGAUGAGGUACUCAAUCUAGCGGGAUGCAAAAAUCAUUUUUUUUUAUGUCUCUAAUUUUUGCCUGGAUCGCCCUUCGGGUUUUCAAUCCACCGAGACACUCAUUUUGCCUAAGUCGCCCUUUCGGUUUCAACCUAGCGAGCCAUUCUUCUUUUUUUUCUUUUUCUAGGCGAAUAUUUCUUGACUACAUCUGAAUUCACAGGACGAGUGAAUCCUCCCCAUCCAUAGUUGUGAGCAUCAAAGCUCCGCCUGGAAAAGGCUCUCUUGACAACAUAUGGCUUCAUAGUUUGGAGUCCACUUGCCCCUGGAAUCGGCGCGAAAGACAAAACUUUCUUGAGCCAUGAGGUCACCUUCCCGGAACACACGAGGCUUGACCUUCUUGUCGAAUGCUUUCUUCAUUCUCUGCUGAUAUAACUGACCAUGACACAUGGCAGUCAAUCGCUUCUCUUCAAUCAGAUUCAACUGUCAUAACGACUCUGAACCCAUUCACCAUCAGUCAAUUUGGCUUCCAUCAAGACUCCCAUUGAUGGGAUCUCCACCUCUACUGGGAGACAACCUCCAUGCCGUAACAAGAGAGGAAAGGGGUUGCCCCUGUUGAAGUGCAGACAGAUGUACGAUAUCCAUGCAAAGCAAAUGGCAGCAUCUCAUGCCAAUCUUUGUACGUAACAACCAUCUUCUGGAUAAUCUUCUUGAUAUUCUUAUUAGCAGCUUCAACAACCCCGUUCAUCUUAGGUCUGUAUGGAGAAGAAUUAUGGUGUGCAAUCUUGAACUCAGCGCACAACUCUUCCAUCAUCUUAUUAUUCAGAUUAGAUCCAUUAUCAGUAAUGAUCUUAUUUGGCACAUCAUAACGGCAAAUAAGCUGAUUUUUGAUAAACUUCACGACCACCUGCCUGGUCACAUUCGCAUAUGAUGCGACUUCAACCCAUUUGGUGAAGUAAUCAAUUUCUACGAGAAUAAACCUGUGUCCGUUGGACGCUUUCGGUUCAAUCAUGCCAAUCAUGUCAAUUCCCCACAUGGAGAAGGGCCAUGGUGAUGAAAUCACAUUCAGAAGUGUCGGAGGAAUAUGAAUCUUGUCCGCAUAAAUUUGACACUUAUGGCAUCUCUUCACAUAUUUGCAGCAGUUAGACUCCAUUGUCAGCCAAUAGUAGCCUGCUCUCAACAUCUUUCUAGCCAUGGCAUGUCCAUUGGAAUGACAUGGUUUACUUGGGAGUACCUGGAGUCAGUAGUUCAGGUCUGCUUCGUGUCUAUCCACGCAUCUGAGCAGAACCAUGUCAAAGUUUCUCUUGUAAAGCACUUCGCCAUUGAGGUAGAAACUGCCUGACAAUCUCCUCAAAGUUUUCCUGUCUUUCACAGAUGCCCCAAGUGGGUAAAUCUGGCUCUGAAGGAAAUUCUUGAUAUCAAAAUACCAAGGCUUAUCGUCUUUAACUUCUUCAACUGCAAAUAUAUGAGCUGGUCUGUCCAAGCGCAUCACAGUGAUAUUGGGAACUUCAUUCCAAUACUUCACCAUAAUCAUGGAAGCAAGCGUAGCAAGCGCAUCUGCCAUCCGAUUAUCUUCUCGAGGAAUAUGAUGAAAGUUAACUUCAGUAAAGAACGUUGAAAUCCUCCUCACAUAAUCUCUAUAUGGAAUGAUGCCAGGCUGAUUCGUCUCCCAUUCACCCUUGAUCUGAUUGACAACGAGGGCUAAAUAAUCAUACACAUCGAGAUGCUUGAUCCUCAGAUCGAUGCAUUCCUCCAAUCCCAUAAUACAGGCUUCAUACUCAGUCAUAUUAUUCGUGCAUUUGAAAGUUAGCCUUUCUGUAAAAGGAAUAUGUGUGCCCUGAGGAGUAAUGAUUACUGCCCCAAUACCAUUUCCGUACUGAUUUACAGCGCCAUCAAACACCAUCGUCCACCUGGAACCAGGUUCUGGACCUUCAUCAAGUGUAGGCUCAUUGCAAUCUUUCAUUUUCAAAUACAGAAUCUCCUCGUCUGGGAAGUCGUAAUGAACUGACUGAUGAUCUUCAAUCGGCUGGUGUGCCAAAUGGUCAGCCAAGAUACUACCUUUGAUAGCUUUCUGAGCUCGAUACUCGAUAUCAUACUCAGAUAAAACAUCUGCCAACGGGCAAUUCUCCCUGUUAAAGCAGGCUUCUCGAAGAUAUACUUGAUUGGAUCCAUUCUGGAUAUUAACCAAGUUGUAUGAUUUAUCAUGUACUGGCGUAGACGCUUAGCGGACCAUUCUGGAUAUUAACCAAGUUGUAUGAUUUAUCAUGUACUGGCGUAGACGCUUAGCGGACCAAGCCAAAGCACAACAUGUCUUCUCAAGCAUUGAGUAUCGAGACUCACAAUCAGUGAACUUCUUACUGAGGUAGUAGAUAACACACUCUUUCUUUCCUGAUUCGUCUUGCUGACCAAGGACGCAACCCAUGGAGUCUUCAAGAACAGUCAGAUACAUGAUCAAAGGUCUUCCUUCUAUAGGCGGAGACAAGAUCGGAGGUUCAGACAGAUAUUCCUUGAUACUAUCGAAAGCUUUCUGGAAAUCCUCGGUCCAAUCAUGAGACUGAUCUUUCUGAAGGAGCUUGAAUAUCGGCGCACACGUGGCAGUCAUGUGGGAUAUAAAUCUGGAAAUAUAAUUCAAGCGGCCAAGAAAACCUCGGACUUGCUUCUCAGUUUUGGGCGCAGACAUCUCUUGUAUUUCUUUGACCUUUGCAGGAUCAACCUCAAUACCUCUCUCGCUGACUAUAAAGCCCAAUAACUUGCCAGAACGGACUCCAAAUGUACACUUGUUCGGAUUCAGAUGAAGCUUGAACUUCCUCAAACACUGAAAAAGCUUCAACAAGUGCUCUACAUGCUCAACUUCCGUUCUUGACUUAGCAAUCAUGUCAUCGACAUAGACCUCUAUCUCCUUGUGCAUCAUAUCAUGAAACAAGGUAGUCAUAGCUCGUUGAUACGUGGCUCCGAAGUUCUUCAAACCAAAGGGCAUCACUCGAUAACAGAAUGUUCCCCAAGGUGUGAUGAAUGUUGUCUUCUCCAUAUCCUCGGGUGCCAUUUUGAUCUAGUUAUAACCGGAAAAUCCGUCCAUAAACGAGAAGACUUUGAAUUUAGCUGUAUUGUCUACCAACAUAUCAAUGUGUGGUAGAGGAAAAUCAUCUUUCGGACUAGCUUUAUUCAAAUCUCUAUAAUCAACACACAUCCGGACUUUUCCGUCUUUUUUAGGUACGGGCACAAUAUUGGCCAUCCAUUGAGGAUAUGUAGAAGUCACCAGAAACCCCGCAUCAAUUUGCUUCUGAACUUCCUCUUUGAUCUUCACUGCCAUAUCUGGAUGAGUUCUUCUGAGCUUCUGCUAUUUGCUUCUGAACUUCCUCUUUGAUCUUCACUGCCAUAUCUGGAUGAGUUCUUCUGAGCUUCUGCUUCACAGGCACGCACUCAGGCUUCAAAGGCAGGAAAUGUUGCACAAUAUCAGUAUCUAGACCUGGCAUGUCUUCAUACGACCAAGCAAAGAUAUCGAAAUAUUCUCGUAGCAAACUGAUCAACCCCUUCUUAACAGACUCUUCAAGGAGUGCCCCAAUCUUCACUAUCCGAACACAAUCUUCAGACCCCAAGUUGACUGUUUCCAGAUUUUCGAGAUGCGACUGAAUGAUCUUCUUUUCAUGCUCAAGCAAACGGGAAAUCUCAUCAGGAAUCUCUUCAACAUCAUCUUCCUCUGCUUCAAAUACAGGGAAUUCAAGAUUGGGAGAUGGCGUUGGAUCAUUAUGUUCAAUGGGUUUAAGAAUCAACCUGCAUAAUGAUUUUGGAUAAUGAAAAGCUUUAGAAUUUAAACAAACAAAUCAUUAUGCAGAUGAAAAGAUUGCUUUUAUUCUUGUUUAGGAUUUUUUGUGAUCACCGAUUUCAUGCAAAAGCAAAAAGUGAAAACAAUUGAAAAACAAAUGUUUAACAUGCAUCAAUUGAAUGAAAAUAUCUUUUUAUAUAUGAUGCCAACAAUGUCAUCACUCCUCCUUUUGGCAUGAGAGAAGGGUUUUUAAACAAAGCAAAGAUAUUACGCUGACUUAUGAACGGCCGUAGGAACAUCCACAACGACCCAAUUGUGGCAGACCCCACCAGGGAUAACAAAAUUGUCAGAAUCCUCUGCAUCCUCUUCCAAGAUAGCAGCAGCUUCUUCAGCUUGAGCAGCGUGGAUGAAACCUCCACUCUUGAACAACCCUUUCUCAUUGAAGACCCCAGAAGAAUAGCCAAUGCCAGCCCGGGACUUGUUAUCUUCAAGCUCAAUCAUUUUUCCUAAACCAGCAGUUGCACCACAUUCGAUGGCCAACUUCGCAUCUUUAUAGGAAGAAAAUGAAGGAGACUUCUUCUCAAUUGGCUCAGCAAUAGAUAAAGCUUGGAAUGGGGUUCCAACUUCAUCCUCAGCAUCAAUGUAUGAGAAGGAAGACAAGUGGCUAACCAGGAGAGCUCUUUCUCCCCCUACCACAACCAGUUUUUUAUUCUUGACGAAUUUCAGCUUCUGGUGUAGGGUGGAUGUCACGGCGCCAGCCUCGUGAAUCCAUGGUCUACCAAGGAGACAGCUAUAUGAUGGGUGAAUAUCCAUAACCUGAAAGGUGAUCUGGAAAUCACUUGACCUCGUGAAUCCAUGGUCUACCAAGGAGACAGCUAUAUGAUGGGUGAAUAUCCAUAACCUGAAAGGUGAUCUGGAAAUCACUUGGUCCAAUCUUGAUUGGGAGAUCAACUUCCCCAAUCACAGUCUUGCACGACCCAUCAAAAGCUUUCACAACAACACCACUUUGCCUUAUGGGAGGCCCUUGAUAUGACAAUCUAGAGAGAGUGGUCUUCGGCAAUACAUUCAGAGAUGACCCAGUGUCCACCAGUAUGUUGGACAUGGCGUCGUUCUUGCAAUUCAUGGAUAUAUGUAAAGCCAUGUUGUGCUCUCUUCCCUCCUCAGGGAGAUCAGAGUCACAGAAACUCAAAUUGUUACAAGCAGUAAUGUUUGCAACAAUGCUAUCGAAUUUUUCGAUUGUGACAUCGUGAUCGACAUACGCCAGAUCCAAAACUUUUUGCAGAGCCUCCUUAGGGGUUCUGAAUUCAGAAGCAAAGAUAGCACGAAUAUCUUGGACGGCGUUUGUAGAAGUUGAUCUACAACAUUGUACUCACUCUUCUUGAUGAGCCUCAGCAUCUCAUCACAGUCUUCAUUCACAGUGCCACUAGGGCCAACAGAAGUAAGAGUCUUUUUUACAAAGGAGGAUUUAACAACAGGUGCUGGAUUCGGAGGAUUCACCGCAUUCCCAACCGGACGCUCAACAGAAUCAGCCCUAGCCUGAGGCUUAGGAGGCGCUGAAAACACACGACCGCUACGGGUCAACCCACUGACAUCAUCAAUGUUCACAACAGAGGAUGAAGGCAAAGGCACUUCUCUCCCAUCUUCCACAGCAACAGCACUGUAACGAAAAGGGAUUGCUUUAUUAGAAGAAUAAGGCACAGGGCCGGCAAGCUUGAUAAUCAGGGAAGGAGAAACCUUCUGCUUACUACCAUCAUAUUUAAUGAUAACAGGCUCAGGUACUCGAAACACUGGAGAAAUGACGUUGACCUCUGGCUCAACCUCGUCAACAUUCCUAUUCUGGAGGAUCUCAAUGGUUCCCUCAUCCAGCAAUUCCUGAAGAUCUCGACGCACUUAGCGACAACCCAAUCUGUUAAUAGAGCAGAUUCGGCAUUUGUCAUGGUCGUUCUCCAGAUGACUGUAGUCACACAGCAGACGGUGCAACUCAACAAGAGACUGUCGAAUAUGGCUAACAUAUUUGACCUUGUAUUUGCCAGGGCAACCCUGGACCAUGUUAACAGAUUUCCCAUGCUCGGGCAAUGGGUUCUUUGUAACAUUAGGGCCUGCGUCCUCAAAGCUCAGAAUACCGCAUCUCAUAAGGUCUUGAACCUUAGUCUUCAGCUGAAAACAAUUCUCUAUGUCAUGCCCGGGAGCACCCGAAUGAUAAGCACAACGAAGAUCGGGCUUAUACCACCACUGAGGGUUAGAAGGUAUAGCCGGAGGAUCUCUCGGAGUAAUCAAUUUCCGCUCUAUCAAAGAGGGAUACAGUUCUGCAUAUGUCAUCGGAAUCGGAUCGAAAGUGAUCUUCUUCCUCUCAUAACUCGCACUGGCUUGAUUACUGUUGUUGCGAGGUUGAUAGGCCUGCUGCCGAGGGCGAUGUUGUUGUUGCUGAUACUGUUGGGACUGCUGCUGUUGAUUAUUGUGCUGAUAUUGCUGAUUGUCACGGAAAACAAGUGCUACAUGAGCCACCUGAUGUUGAUUACCGGCUGAACGCACAGGCUUCCUCCUCACGGAGGGUCUUCUGGGUUUAACAUGGGAUUGCACAGCAUGUGCCUCCCCAUCUUUCUUCUUCGCAAACGCCCCAUAACGUUUGGUAGAAGAGCCUUCAUCUCUGGAUAGCCGUCCUUCACGGACUCCUUCCUCUAGUCACAUCCCCAUGUUCACCAUUUCAGUGAAAUCAGAGGGAGCACUAGCGAUCAUCCGCUCAUAAUAAAAUGAACUCAAAGUAUUAAAAAAGAUUUUGGUCAUUUCUUUCUCUUCUAGCGGAGGAGUAAUCUGAGCUUCCAACUCACGUCACCUCUGGGCGUACUCCUUGAACGUUUCCUUAUCCUUCUGAGACAUGGCCCUGAGCUGAUCCCGAUCGGGAGCCAUAUCAACGUUGUAUUUGUACUGCUUGACGAUGGCUUCGCCAAGGUCGUUGAAGGAACGGAUGUUCGCACUGUCCAAACUCAUAUACCAACGCAGUGCAGCACCGGAUAGACUGUCCUGGAAAUAAUGGAUAAGCAGUUGAUCAUUCUCAGUUUGAGUUGACAUCUUCCUGGCGUACAUCACCAGGUGACUGAGAGGGCAAGUAUUCCCUUUGUAUUUCUCAAAGUCAGGGACUUUGAAUUUCACCGGAAUCUUGACAUUGGGAACCAAGCACAACUCGGCAGCAAAUUUCCCAAACAAAUCCUUUCCUCGAAGGGUCUUCAAUUCCUUGCGCAGCUCAAGGAAUUGGUCAUUCAUCGCGUCCAUCUUCUCAUGAACAUCUGGGCCCUCAGACGGCUCAGAAUGAUAGAUGGUGUCGUCUACUCUAGGAACGGUAUGCACGACAGGAGGAGGAACAGCAAGGAUCGGGCUAGAUGCCGGCAAGGAAGCAAAAGUUGGAGCAGGAAUCUCAGGCAUAAAGUUGGGAGGCAUCCCCCACGGAAACCCGGACGGCAUGGCUGUUGGCACGAAGUGGGCACUGGCAGCUGGCACUGUCGAAGAGACAAUCUCAGAAAUAACAGUCCUCUGGGAAGGAGUUGCAGGCGUCGGAGACGACUGAUUCUGAGCAGCCAGGAAUUGCUCCAUCAGAGCAGUGAGUCUGGCGACUUCAUCCUUCAGCUCACGGUUCUCUUGCUCGAGAUGAUCCAUCACUCUUGCAGAGUUGGCUCUGGUGUAGUACCGAUGAGUCAGCUUGUCUUCAAAAUAAAUGAAGAGCACAGAAUUAGGCCACAGACAAGAAGACCGGAACAAACACAUGCUUAUGCGCAUGAUGCAUGCAAUGCUCGUGCAUAUGAUUUAUUUUUAUAUUUCAAGGAACUUUUAGGGUUUUAUUUGCAGAUUUUGAAAUGUUAAACAUUUUGAAUUCAAUGGAAAAAAAUCUCAUCAAAUAUCAUCAAGACAAAGAAGUACAACAUUGUCAAUCAUAUACAAGGGAAAAGGAAAAUAAACAUCCUAUGGAUCCCUAGAAGCCCGAGACGCAGGAAGACGAGAUGCAAGAAGCCUCUUCACCUCUCUCUCGUAGGCUGCUUCCAUAUCUGCCUUCUCCUUGGCGAGUCGAUCAUACUUCCUUUUCCAGAAUUUGGAAGACUGAGGAAGUAAAGAAGUCCAGGCAUCAUCAGGAUCAUCAAUGACUUGAUGCUCGAGGAACUCAAUCAGAGCGUCCUUCUCCUUGAUCUGCUGCAGCAACUCUUCACGUUCAUGGAUCCAGGCACGCGAACGGUCUUCGUCUCUCAACUCCUCUACUCCUUGAUUAGGGAGGGUUGAAGGCCCAGCCAUAAUCAUAGGUGUAGGUCUCGGAUAGUGUUAAUACCUCAGGAUUGGCAUUAAUUUUAGAAAACAAAUAAUGUAAUCACCUCUGUUGUUUUAAUAUGUUGGGUUGAAGAAAUUCAACAUCUGGACCAACAUGUCAUGUACGAUGUCACGACAUCAGGUCUGUGACAUCGCACAUGUGUNGAAGAACUUAGAACCCGGAGUUGUGUAGUAUUGAACCGAGGGGCGUACGCCUAUUGGGACAAUACGAAGACUCCACCUAGAGUAGAUCUGUUUGGAGUUCCCAUCACAAUAUGGCUAGCCCAUCAUUCCGGUGGAGGUUCUAAACACGAUCCGUGACUCUAGGGACCUCGCCUUAAAACCAAGUUUUGUUUUCAUAAUCGGAGAUUAUGUAGUAUUGAACCGAAGGGUGUACACCCUGUUCGUACAAUACGAGAAUCCCACUUAGAUUAGAUUAUUUCAGAACUCCCAUCACAAUGUGGCUAGCCCACCAUUGCGAGGAAGUUUUGAACUUGAUCCGUGAGUCUAAGUUCCUUCCUUGAAAACAUAACUUUAGAACCUACCUUUGGGGAAUUUCUUGUGAUCAGGAAAACCCAUACUUCUUCCUGUUAUUCUGAUGUACUCGACAUGUGGAUAAUCUUGAGUCUGUAUUCCUCUGUGAAAAAUCAUGGCAAAAAUUCAUGCAUUUGCAUAUCAUCAACAUGCAUUGCAUUUCAUCUUCCAGAAACAAAAGCUUACACCAUACUCUACCCUUUGUCCAGUAAACAAUGGCAAAAAUUCAUGCAUUUGCAUAUCAUCAACAUGCAUUGCAUUUCAUCUUCCAGAAACAAAAGCUUACACCAUACUCUACCCUUUGUCCAGUAAACGCUGACUACUCGACACCGGUACGAGACAUGCCGCAACUACAAGAUGACACUCGAACAGUUGGAAGCAAAUCAAGUUUCAAUGAGGACUGACAUCGACUCCAUGCAAGCAAAGAUGGAUCGCUUGCUAGAAACUAUGUUGCUCUUAGCCCAGAAGGAGAAGAAUGCUGAGACUAAUGUUGAAGCUAGGAAAGUUGCUGCCCAGUUUGGAUCGCCAUCGCUCAGUAUCCCUGGAGUGAUUGACCUUGAUGGUAACUCUAAUCAACCUAGAGAAGGACCGAUCCACAUUCCUGUUCCCAUGGACAACGUGAACCCCCACGAGCAUUCUGCUACAUCUGCUCGACACGGAUCAGUGAUGGGUGAUGAAGAUCCAUAUGACGCCUUCUUCAUGCCACAACUUGUCAAACCUGUUGUUGGAGGUCUCCCAGACCCAGCUGUUGAUAGACUCCAUGCUUUGGAGGAAAAAUUUAAGUCCUUGGAGGUUCACACUACUCCCGGUUUGGACGCCGUUGAUAUGUGCUUGGUNNNNNNNNNNNNNNNNNNNNNNNNNNNNNNNNNNNNNNNNNNNNNNNNNNNNNNNNNNNNNNNNNNNNNNNNNNNNNNNNNNNNNNNNNNNNNNNNNNNNNNNNNNNNNNNNNNNNNNNNNNNNNNNNNNNNNNNNNNNNNNNNNNNNNNNNNNNNNNNNNNNNNNNNNNNNNNNNNNNNNNNNNNNNNNNNNNNNNNNNNNNNNNNNNNNNNNNNNNNNNNNNNNNNNNNNNNNNNNNNNNNNNNNNNNNNNNNNNNNNNNNNNNNNNNNNNNNNNNNNNNNNNNNNNNNNNNNNNNNNNNNNNNNNNNNNNNNNNNNNNNNNNNNNNNNNNNNNNNNNNNNNNNNNNNNNNNNNNNNNNNNNNNNNNNNNNNNNNNNNNNNNNNNNNNNNNNNNNNNNNNNNNNNNNNNNNNNNNNNNNNNNNNNNNNNNNNNNNNNNNNNNNNNNNNNNNNNNNNNNNNNNNNNNNNNNNNNNNNNNNNNNNNNNNNNNNNNNNNNNNNNNNNNNNNNNNNNNNNNNNNNNNNNNNNNNNNNNNNNNNNNNNNNNNNNNNNNNNNNNNNNNNNNNNNNNNNNNNNNNNNNNNNNNNNNNNNNNNNNNNNNNNNNNNNNNNNNNNNNNNNNNNNNNNNNNNNNNNNNNNNNNNNNNNNNNNNNNNNNNNNNNNNNNNNNNNNNNNNNNNNNNNNNNNNNNNNNNNNNNNNNNNNNNNNNNNNNNNNNNNNNNNNNNNNNNNNNNNNNNNNNNNNNNNNNNNNNNNNNNNNNNNNNNNNNNNNNNNNNNNNNNNNNNNNNNNNNNNNNNNNNNNNNNNNNNNNNNNNNNNNNNNNNNNNNNNNNNNNNNNNNNNNNNNNNNNNNNNNNNNNNNNNNNNNNNNNNNNNNNNNNNNNNNNNNNNNNNNNNNNNNNNNNNNNNNNNNNNNNNNNNNNNNNNNNNNNNNNNNNNNNNNNNNNNNNNNNNNNNNNNNNNNNNNNNNNNNNNNNNNNNNNNNNNNNNNNNNNNNNNNNNNNNNNNNNNNNNNNNNNNNNNNNNNNNNNNNNNNNNNNNNNNNNNNNNNNNNNNNNNNNNNNNNNNNNNNNNNNNNNNNNNNNNNNNNNNNNNNNNNNNNNNNNNNNNNNNNNNNNNNNNNNNNNNNNNNNNNNNNNNNNNNNNNNNNNNNNNNNNNNNNNNNNNNNNNNNNNNNUGCUCAACAACGUCAACCUAAUCAGCAGAGGGCAAGGAGGCUAGAAAGACAUUUUGAUCCUUUGCCAGUAUCAUACAGCAAGAUCCUCCCCUACUUGCUAAAGGAUGGAUCGGUUGUUCUGAAGGAGCUAACACCUGCAACUCCACCAUAUCCUCCAGGCUACGACGCCAAUGCUCACUGUGAGUAUCACAUGGGUGCCCCAGGGCACACAAUAGAAAACUGUAAGGCUUUCAAGCACAAGGUUCAAGACUUGGUUGACAGUAAAGCACUUACAUUCACGCCAGUGAGGCCAAAUGUCGCAACAAAUCCCAUGCCAGCGCAUGCAGAGUCGAGUGAAGCUCGAAGAUAAUGUUCCUCGCCAACCUGAUCAACAGAGCAAACUCCGAUGAAGAAUCAAGAGAUGAAGUCUGUUGCUUUGAAUGAAGGCAAUCAUUAUGCCAUUUUUACCAUUUUGCAUUCUUGUAAUUUGAUCUUGUUUGUUUUAGUACUGAAUGCUUUAAACAUUGUCAUUUGUAUUUGGUCUUAUUAAUGGGAUGAUUAUGCAUGCUUUGAACCAAUCUUUCAUAUUCACUCAUCUAUCACAUUCACAAAUCACAAACACAUACUUUUUCACCUCACUUUCUUUCAUCACACUAUUGUUAGUAAAUGUUGGAAGGAGGAUGACGAAAACAAAAUACUCAUAAUUGCUGAUUGUAUGCUUUCGGAUAAAACCUUGCUGAUGAUGUACAGGCAUUGUUUCAAAUCCCCAAACACUGGAGAGAUAAGAAGUUAAUCCCUAGUCAACCACUUCGAGCCUAGAAGUAGGAGUUUCUUUCGGAUCUACAAACCCUUACGCUUAACCUGGGGCAGGGUAGAAAUCCCCAAACACUGGAGAGAUAAGAAGUUAAUCCCUAGUCAACCACUUCGAGCCUAGAAGUAGGAGUUUCUUUCGGAUCUACAAACCCUUACGCUUAACCUGGGGCAGGGUAGUGUUCAGUUAAUCCGAUUACGCAUCCAAAUUACAAGAUGAAAUAUCCCAUGCGAGGAUCAACCACACAAUAUUCUUCACACACAUCCUGAAGUGUCGAAGGAACCAUACAAAUCCAAAUUUUAUGUCGGUUGUUCUUCAAUGACCAAUGGCUUGGCAAUCACAAUUUCCAAAAAAAAUCAAAAAAAUCAAUCAAAGAAAGAGCCCGCUAAGUCCAACACCCUGAAAGGAGACUUAGGCAAAAACAGGGGCAAUCCCGAUGGAUUAAAGCUUCAAACAAAGCGGUCCAUGCAAAAGUUAGGGAUCAAAACAAAAAACAAGAGAGACAAUGAAAGUCCUCAACAAAGCAAAACAAGAUUCAGUGACCACCAUACUAAAAUCAAAGGGUCACCGAUAUCCAAAAAACGAAAUAAGGUGGCUGCCAUUCUAAGAAACCUUGAAUCACCAUCUUUGUCCUUACACCUGCAAAAGUGAAUGUGUGUGAGUUAACUGAACGUAGGAUUGGGAGAUCAUCAUGAAGAAGGGGCGGGUUAAAAUAAACUUUGAGCCUUAUAUCCUUUUGUUUCAAUAACCAUGAACCAAGCCACGUUACAACCUUCAAAAGACCUAAUUGAAGUAGGGUUUAUUCUGAAAGCAUAUUAUAGCAAGGUUGAGUAAACUGACUCCUAGAUAUUUGCUAAUAUUCUCUUCUCACCAUAUCACUCACACACCAGCUAAAUCAAGCACCGCGAUUGGACACAUGAUCCACUCGUCAUACACUACCACAACACUCCCGAGUGAAUGAUUGUUUUUCAAAACUUGCAUAACUAUUGCAUUAACAUCACCAUUUCUUGAAUAAUAAUUCUUAAUUGUCAGUCAGCACUUGACAUCAAAGAAAUUCCAACAAGAGGCAAAUCAAGGGGCACUUGAUCGUUGGUGCUGACACGAAUCAAGACCAUCCUAUGAAUCAGGGGCAUGACAUCUUUUGAUUACAUUGACAUAAGAAGUAGUCAGUAUAAGACAAAUCUCCAAGCAUCAGUUGAUCAGGGAGGAAAAGCACUUCAAUAUUCAACCAAUCAGGGGCAAGUCCUUCAGAGGCUAAUCAGGGGCAUACCAUUGCCAGAAUCAAACAUUGAAGGAAUCAAACUCAGAUCAUGUCAUGGGAUAAUCACUUCUAAAGGUUUCCUUUCAAGGAGAAUUCCUUUGAACACCUUACAACCAGGGGCAAGACAGGUUGCAAGGGGCAAAUUCCCUUCAUAUCUUCAAGUCUGUCAAGCAGAUUUCAUCAGACACUAGUAAUUGCUUGAAUCCACAACCAAAAUGUCAAAAGUUCAUACCAGUACAAUAUCAUACCUUGACAAGAAUCCUUGGGGCACAUCAAAGGCAUAACCAACAUGCGUUGAUCACGUCGCUAUGCUCAGUUACAGGCUGGCCAAACACUUCAGAAGAAGAACUGAGAUCUUCUCGAAGACAAAUACAAUAUAUCAGCAAGAAGUCAAACUUGGGGCACCAAGAGUAUCCGCAUCUAUUGCGUGUUCAUCACAUCAUCAACUACCGAGUGUCAGGAAGUCAGAUCCUUUCACCAAUCAACAGCUCAAUCCACAUCGACAAUUACCAAAAAAACCAAAGCCCACCUUGCUGACACCCACACAAAAACAAAUACAACCAACACUGGUUUCCAAAAAAUACAUUGCCUUUGAAAAGGGGGGCCAAUCCCAAACAAACCAAUCAUCUUUUGCAUUCAAACAUGCAUCUCAUGCAUCACAUACAUCACCUCAUACAUAACGCAUACAUAUCAUUCAUGUACAUGACACAAAUCAAAAUCCAAGGUGUAGUCGUAGGCAUCCAGGCCAACCCUCAAUUGAGUCAUUGUCACUCCCUCCAAGUGAGUUCCUACCCUACUAUCGGGCGUUCCCCAUUGAGUUACAUUCUUCAACAUUUUGUUGAUAAGACGUUAUCCUCAGCUAAGUCAAGCAAUGUUUCUCCAAACACUUACCUUGUUUCACGUUGAGCAUCCCUCAAUGAGUCAUUUCCUGUGACCUUUUGUUGACAGAAAUGGCAUCUCUCCAGAGAAUAUUGGUUUUGCAACCUUUUGUUGUCGAUACCCUAAGCAAGUCUUAACCAGUAAAGUUCCAACAAUACCCAACAAGUCAGGUUUACUGAACUUUGUCAGUAGCCUUGUUCUCUAAUAUUGUUCUCACUGUCAUCUUUUUGGUGAAAGUCCAUUGAGGAAUAAUAUUAACCAUCACCCUGUUUAUGAUGACCGUUAUCCUUUUGGUAAUGGUAAAUCCUUGACAUUUGUGAUAUAACCGUCAUCCUUUUGAUGUCGAAGAUCCUUGAAGUUUUGGUUCAACCUUCAUCCUUUUGGUGAGUGGUGACCUCUACAAUUAUUACAGCCUACCGUCAUCCUUUUGGUGUCGGCGAUCCUUGUGGUGAUAAGGAUCCUUGUCAUGUUGGUUCAAUCAUCAUCCUUUUGGUGAUGACGUCCAGUUCAAUCUAAUGUAACAGAUGAUGUCCAAAACAGGAUUGAGACAUCGUGCUGAUAACUGUGUAGGAAAACAACAGUAGUGAAUGUUAUGGUGCACAUAACUAAGUGUUCCUCCAUUCUAGGAUGACAUAGAAGGAGAAAUUGUGACAAUGUGAAAGGGUGCACAUUAGUACAGAGUGUAAUAACUGUCUUGCUGUAUUAGGUACAAUGUUAGAUCAGAUGUCAUGACUUGAAGUAGAACAUCUGAAUACUGACUACACCAGAAUUUCAGAUAGUCAUAAGGCAUGAGAUACUCAGAUGCUCUCUUCCUUACCCAAUCAGUAUAUGGCUCCAAAGCAAUGCAGUUCUUCAGACCCAACUCACUCGUACCCUUCUUGUGGAUCUUGCGCCAAGCGCGGACCAUCCUGGCUUUCAGGCCUUGGGGAUCUUUACCCUCCUAAAAGAACACACCUUCUAAUAGAAUGUUAUUAGGUUUAUCCUUUAGGGGGAACCCAAGCUGACGACGUGCUAACGCAUGAUUGUAGCUAAUUCCACCACAUGUACCAAGAAGAGGCACAUUGGAGAAUUCACCAUAAGAGUCAAUAAUCUGAACUCCAUCAUACACGCGAUCAUACCAAGAGAUAUCAUCAUUAGUGAGAGACAUAAGUCUCGUAGACCUCCGUAGACAUCCCUUGUUCUCCUUGAAAGCGACCGUCUGAGGUAAGUGAGAAAUAAACCACUUAUACAACAGAGGCAAACAACACACAAUAGCGCCACCACCCUUUGCAUUCCUCAGAUGCAAAGAGAAGUAAGUGAGAAAUAAACCACUUAUACAACAGAGGCAAACAACACACAAUAGCGCCACCACCCUUUGCAUUCCUCAGAUGCAAAGAGAAAUAGGUAUCACCCAACAGAGUCGGAACGGGAUUAAGAACAAAGAAGAUCCUAAUAGCGUUCCCAUCCACAAAUUUGUCGAUGUUGGGGAACAAACCCAACCCAUAGAUGAGAAGAACAAAUAUGGCCUCAAAGGCAUCCUCACUCAUGGCCUUCCCAUACACUGUAGCUUGAGCGAUGAGGAACUCAGAAGGGAGACCUUGAAUUCCACCUUUGGUAGUCAUAUGAGCUUCAAUCAGGGAUUCAUCUAUGUGCAACAAGUCUGCAAUCUCUCGAGAAGUCGGAAUACUCUCUAAGCCACUGAACGGCACCUGGUCCAGAAUAUGAAUACCCACAAGAUGAGCAUACUCCUCAAGUGUAGGCAAUAGCUGAAUGUCCGGAAAAGAGAAGCAAUGAUACAGAGGAUCAUAGAACUGCACCAAAGUACCCAUCAACCCUUCAUCAACCUGAGUAGUCAGUGUCGUACCCCAAUUUUGUCCGGGCAUUUUUAAUUUCUAGUAGAAUUAAUUUCAUUUCGAUUUUAGCAUCAUACGCAUAGCAUGACAUACAUUGCAUCAUGAAUAACACCUGAAAUGUCAGUCAGAAUAAACUUAUUUGAAGAUACAGAAAAAUCGGUUGAAUCGUCAAAAUUUGAUGAAAUACUGUAUUUUUAAUAAGUAUGUUUUGUCUUGACAAUUUUAGUGUGACCAGUUCUUUUUGUACUCAAUUUCUAUUUUUUUAACUGGUCAAAUAUUUAAAUUUUAGUUAGUUGUAAAUAUUAGUUAUUUAAUUAGAUUUUGGUUAGGUUUUAAUAAUAGUUAAUUUUUAAAUAGUAGUUAGUUUAGAUUUAAUUAUUAGUAAGUUUAUGUUUUAUUCAAGUAAAUAAUAAUUAUAAAAUAUAUAUAUAUAUUACAUUGGAUUCCAAUCCACUAAAAAACAAAAAAAACCACUAUCUCAUUCCCUGCUCCACUCCCAACAGACUCUCUCCACUACUAAUUCCACUCCCAACAAACUCUGAAAAAUCCCCAGCUCAUAUCCUCUCUCACACGUCAAUAACAACCAUCCACUCACAUCUCCCUCUACAAAAAUCUGUCUUCACUCUCUCAUCAAAAACUCACACUCCCAAAAAUAGCUCACAUCCUCUCUCCAUCUAACAACACACAAAAUCAUUCACAAAUCCCUCAGAAAAAUCUCACGCUACAUUCUCACAAAACCAUCGCUUCCCAAACAUCACCUCCAUGCCCAUCAUCAUCGCUUCACAAACCCUCGCCGUAUCCCACCGUCCAAACCCUUCAUCCACCGUCGUACCACCAUAACCGCCGACGCUCCGAAACCCUCAAUAUCUCACUCAAACUUCUUCCAUCGCCAUCACAAAACCAUAGUUUCUCCGCCGACCACAAUCGUCCUUCGAGAUCCAUCACCGAUGAACAGAUCCGAUGCCGGAUCUGCAACUUCAAUCCACUCCUAACGCUGUUAAAGUUAUCACCACGACCUAAAUCGGAAAUAACAUACAUCAAUACUAAGGCAUACAUCGUCCUCCUUGCCGAGCAGAAGAUUAAAAUCCGGUGAAGGUGAUGGAGAUUUGUUUUUUUUACUCACGAAAAGCUGUUAUGAAUUGCACUUGAGGGCCACGAGUAGAAGAUCGGUUUUGAGAGGAAAUCCCAAACAGCGAAGGAAGAACAACACGCCUCCAAAAGACUCGAUUCAAGCAGCUGCAUAUUGCAUCAUGUCUCUGAUUUAGUGUUCGUUGAUUUUCGGUAAUUUCAUUCUGUUUACUGGCUUGAUUCGAAUCCAAGUUUUAGAUUGUGCCGUAUUGUUUUAUCUAUAUUAUGUUGUGCCUUCCACAAAUUGUUGCUUAAAUGACAUAUAUUUUUUUUGUAUGUUUAAGGUUUAUUAGGAAAAUGGAUGUGUUUGAGCUUACUGUAUGAGCUUGUUAAGUGCAAAAUUCUCUUUAUUAUUGCCUCAUUGGAAUGCCGACAUUGAUGUGUUUGAGUUUACGAAGCUUUUUAUGUAAGAUUGAAAUAGCAGCAGCCUGAUUUGUUACUUUAUUAAGAUAGGGAUUGAAAUAUUAUUAUUUAUUAUUCACUUGUUAGAUUAGAGCUUAAGAAUUGUUGUGUGGGAAGUUUGGAAUGAUUGAAAGAGAAGCCCAUUUUUUUCAUUGUUAUGUCGACUAACAUUACCGUGUCAUUGUUAGCUUUUUUUUCAUUUACUGGAUUUUGUUUCACAUGAUAGGGAUGAGCAUUUAGUUUCGGCUACCUUGUAGGAUAAAAUUAGUUAAUAUAUAAACUAAUAUUUUUUUUUUACUCGGUAGGAUAUCAUUGAAUAAAUUACAUGGGUCUUAUUGUUUUAUUAUCAUUAUGUCAUGGUCUAGUGGUCUAGUGAGAACUUUGCAUGUGGUGAAAUGAGUUAAUGAGGACUCUGUUACAAGUUAUAAAUAUUUCAAUUUUAGUUAGCUUCUAAAUAUCUCUAUAGUUAAUAGAUAAUUAUAACAUGAUGAAUAAUAUUGGAUUGUCGUUUAAAGUUCAUUGAUUUAAAUCGAAUUUUACGUGGAUUCGACAAAUCCAUGUCGCUAUACCAUCAAAGUUUCAAUAAAUUAAUUGUAUAUUUUCACCGCGUUUCGAUCUCACAUACGACAUUCCAAUUUCAUUGUCGUUAUGUACAAACCGGUUUUGGAGCACAUUGUAACCAAUUCAAUUUCAUUAUCCAUUCAAACCAAUUUCAAAAAGCACAAAUCAUACAAUUCUCGAUUUAAUAUCGAGCCCCUUUUUAAACACCCUUGUAAGUCGAUUGCUCUUAGCAUCGCCAUCAACCUCANAGAUCCAUCACCGAUGAACAGAUCCGAUGCCGGAUCUGCAACUUCAAUCCACUCCUAACGCUGUUAAAGUUAUCACCACGACCUAAAUCGGAAAUAACAUACAUCAAUACUAAGGCAUACAUCGUCCUCCUUGCCGAGCAGAAGAUUAAAAUCCGGUGAAGGUGAUGGAGAUUUGUUUUUUUUACUCACGAAAAGGUGUUAUGAAUUGCACUUGAGGGCCACGAGUAGAAGAUCGGUUUUGAGAGGAAAUCCCAAACAGCGAAGGAAGAACAACACGCCUCCAAAAGACUCGAUUCAAGCAGCUGCAUAUUGCAUCAUGUCUCUGAUUUAGUGUUCGUUGAUUUUCGGUAAUUUCAUUCUGUUUACUGGCUUGAUUCGAAUCCAAGUUUUAGAUUGUGCCGUAUUGUUUUAUCUAUAUUAUGUUGUGCCUUCCACAAAUUGUUGCUUAAAUGACAUAUAUUUUUUUUGUAUGUUUAAGGUUUAUUAGGAAAAUGGAUGUGUUUGAGCUUACUGUAUGAGCUUGUUAAGUGCAAAAUUCUCUUUAUUAUUGCCUCAUUGGAAUGCCGACAUUGAUGUGUUUGAGUUUACGAAGCUUUUUAUGUAAGAUUGAAAUAGCAGCAGCCUGAUUUGUUACUUUAUUAAGAUAGGGAU
RNAcentral lists this long non-coding RNA (40856 nucleotides) under Lathyrus oleraceus (garden pea). RNAcentral describes it as "Pisum sativum (pea) long non-coding RNA (PSAT_LNC035359)". Lineage: Eukaryota; Viridiplantae; Streptophyta; Magnoliopsida; Fabales; Fabaceae. The record is from RNAcentral.